CGAGAAUGUUAGUUUUAAAUAACAUGUUUUUACAGUGAGGAAAUAAAGGAAGUUUGCAGUAGUAAGACAGUGAGUUGAUUGAAAAGAAAUCACAAAACUAAAGCAGUAUGUUUGCUAAAGCUGCUUUUAUUAUUCUUGUCCUGUUUGGGCUCCACCUGUCGUCCACACAAGACACAUUUCUCAGAGAGGGUCCAGAGGAGCUUUAUUGCCGUUGCAUCAGCUACACCUCUAACUUCAUUCAUCCAAAGACUAUGAAGGAUAUUGAUAUUAUUCCAAAGGGUCCUCAUUGUGCAAUAGUAGAAGUAAUAGUCACACUCAACAAUGAUAGGCAAGUUUGUCUGGACCCUGAAGCCAAUUGGGUGAAGAAAUUGAUUGAUAUAAUUUUAAGAAACAAUUGAAGAAUUUCCUGAAAUGUGAAGGUGACCCAGGAAAAGUGCGACAACAUAGACUGGUACCAAUCAGCAGGUCACCCUCGCUUACCUCCCGCACAAGGACUAGAAGAUCACAGCCUUCACCUUUAUCAUAAUCGUGCUCCUGUCUUCAUCAGCCAAAGGAAGACUGGAUUGACUCACUUUCAGAUGAAGUCUAUUCGACAAUAUUAUCGCAUUCAUAUCUGAAUAGUGUCUUUGUUAUACUUAAUUAAACCAUUUUCAGUAUAAUGUUAAUUAGAUUAUGAGCAAGCAGCAGAUUGGUUGUAUCAUUCCUAAUCAGUUAACCAAGAUCAAAGGAAUCAUAGCCAUUUAUGAUUCAGAAGUGCCAGCUAAAUGAGAGGCAGCAUUCCAGCCCAGUUACACUUCCCAGAUUUUGAUUUGUAAUCUUGAAAGUUACAACAGUUUACCGUCACAUGUAAAACCAUUAUGAAUGCAAAGAGGGUUACGAAUCUAACCACGUCUGGCUACCACCAUCCUGGUUAAGUGCUUCCCUCUCUACAUUAGCUUGGUCACUUCAUGUAAAUCUUCCUUGAUUCCCAAACAAAACAAUGCUAGUCCCGGCCAGUCUUUCCUCGCAGCUAAACUUCUCUAUUCCCAGCUUUUAUGCAAGUCUCUAUAAGAAAUAACUUUGUUAGAUGGGACCACAACUAUGUGCAGCAUUCUAGAUGUAAACCAGUUUUUACGCCACUUCCCAGUUCUUAUGUUCUAUGUCCCGUUACUAAAGGGAAGUAACCCGCCACUCAGUCAUAGAAAUGUACAGCGCAAAAACAGGUCUUUGAGCCCAUCCGGUCCAUGCUGAACCAUUUAAACUGUCGAGUCCUAUUAAUCUACACCAGGACCAUAGCCCUCCAUACCCCUCCCACCAUGUACCUAUCCAAACUUCACUUAAACAUUGAAAUCGAAAUCACAUCCACCACUUGCACUUUCCACACUCUCACCAAUCUCUGAGUAAGUAACUUUCCCCUCAAGUUCCCUUUAAACAUUUUACCUUUCACCCUUUACCCAUGACCUCUAGUUGUAGUCUCACCCAACCUCGGUGUAAAAAGCCAAAUUGCAUUUACCCUAUCUACACCACUCAUAAUUUUGUAUAUCUCUAUCAAAUCUGCCCUCCAUCUUCUAUAUUCGAGUGAAUAAAGUUCUAACCUAUUCAGUCUUUGGGCUAUGUGAGGGAAACUUGUACACUUGGUGGAAACCUAGGGAGAAAAUGCGAACUCCACAUAGACAGCUCAGUCUGUUUCCUGGGAAUUAUAGUCCUAAUGGUUCCAGAGAUAGAAGGGGUCACUCUGGCAUUAUAACAGAAAUGCACUUCUAAGCUUAUGCUGUGCCAGAGAUCUGGUUGAGGCUCCAGCUCCUGCUGGCAGAUCUUGUCACAACAAAACAGUUGAAGUGAUCUGAUCACCCUAUGGUUCAGUGUGGAGUGAGCCCCAGAGGUCGCGAGGGCUGGGACGCAUGGUGCGUCUGCUCAGCAUUGAGAUGGGGGCUUGGGGCUCCACCUGGCUAUCACUGUGAGUGUGGGCCACUGCUGGGAGCUGGCGAAUAUGCUCCAUGUGUCGAUGGACCACCCGUCUUCCGUGGUAUCUCCCAUCACCUCCCACAGGACGGUGGUGAAUUUUGUUGCAUUCCCUUCACUUUGUUUGGCUGCACAGUUCUCCCCGCCCUAGCAGUUCCUCGGUGGCUCAGCGGCAGUGACUGCUCUUGCACUUGUGGCUGUGGAGAAGUCCCUGGGUGUGCAGAGAGGGGCAGUGCCCACCUCAUCCAACGGGACUGUGCUGGCCAGUGUGCCAAGCUCACCCUGGCAUUCACCUCCUCCCUCCAGCUGGCACUAGACUCACUCCACAUUGUGCCUCCAUCACAGGCGAGGUCCAGUGGUGAUGAGGGCAGAGGAUCACAGCAGGUUAAAGAACAGUGGGGUAUUUGCCUGUGUGAGUUCCGACCCCAGCACCAAACAUCUGUACUUUGUGGCAGAGUACCAAGCCAGUAGCAGUGUCAGAACUAGAAUCAGAAUUAGUAUCAUUGACAUAGAGUUAUGGAAAAAUACAGCACAAAAGCAGGCCCUUCAGCCCAUCUAGUCUAUGCCGAUCCAUUUAAACUGCCUGCUCCCAUUGUGCUGCACUGGUACCAUAGCCCUCCAUACCCCUACCAUCCAUGUACCUAUCCAAACCUCUCUUAAAUGUUGAAAUCAAGCUCACAUGCACGACUUGCGCUGGCAGCUUGAUCCACACUCUCACAACUCUCUGAGUGAAGAAGUUUCCUCUCAUCUUCCCUUAAAUGUUUCACCUUUCACUCCUAACUGUGACCUCAGUGGAAAAUGCCUGCUUGCAUUUACCCUAUCUAUACGCCUCAUAAUUUUGUAUACCUCAAUCAGAUCUCCUCUCAAUCUUCUACAUUCCAAGGAAUAGAGUCCUAACCUAUUCAAUCCUUCCAUAUAACUCAGGUCCUCCAGACGCAGUAACAUCCUUGUGAAUUUUUUCUAUACUCCUUCAGUCUUUUCACAUUUUAGCUCUAACCCAUGACCUCUAGUUGUCAUCCCACCCAACCUCAGUGGAAAAAGCCUGCUUGCAUUUACCCUAUCUAUACCCCUCAUAAUUUUCACCAUUAUCAAAUCUCCCCUCAAUCUUUUAUGUUCCAAGGAAUAAAGUCCUAAUCUAUUCAAUCUUUCCUUCUAACCCACAUCCUUCAGACCCAUCAACAUCCCUGUAAAUAUUCUCUGAACUCUUUCAACCUUAUUUACAUUUUUCCUGUAGGUAGUUGACCAAAACUGCACACAAUACUCCAAAUUAGGCAUCACCAAUGUCUUAUACAACUUCAACAUAACCUGCCAUCUCCUGCACUCAAUACUUGGAUUUAUGAAGGCCAAAACAGCAAAUGCUUUCUUUAUGAACCCCUAGCAACUUGAAUUUUGGACCUGCAUUCCCAGAUCUCUUUGCUUGACUGCACUCCUCAGUGCCUUAUCAUUCACUGUGUAAAGACCUACCCAGGGUGGUCCUACCAUAGUGCAACACCUCGCACUUGUCUGCAUUGAGCUCCAUGCAGACAACAUCCACUGCUUUGCCUUCAUCAAUUUUCCUGGUAACUUGCUCGAAAAACUCUAUAAGAUUGGUUAGACUUGACCUACCAUGCACAAAGCUAUGCUGACUAUUCUUAAUCAGUCCCUGUCUAUCCAAAUACUCAUAUAUCCAGUCCCUUAGAACGCCUUCCAAUAACUUGCCCACCACUGAUGUCAGGCUCCCUGGCCUAUAAUGUGCUGGCUUUUUAGAGCCCUUUCUUAAACUGCAGAACAGCAUUGUCUAUCCUCCAAUCCUCUGGCACCCCAGCUGUCGCUAAGGAUGAUAUAAAUAUCUCUGCUGGCACCCGGCAGUUUCCACACUUGCCUUCUGCAGGGUCCAAGGCAACACCUUAUCAGGCCCUGGGGAUUUAUCCACCCUGAUUUGCCUCAAGACAGCAAACAGCAUCUCCUCUGUAACCUGUAGAGUCUAUGAAGUUGAUGAUGUUUGGCCUCCCUUCUGUAGACUCUGUGUCCAUCUCCUGAGUAAAUACAGAUGCAAAAAAAAAAGGCAUUUAAGAUCUCUCCCAUCCUUUUUAGCUCCGCACAUAGAGGACCAAUUCUGAUAUUCCAGAGGAUCAAUUUUGUCCCUUGCAGUCCUUUUGGUCUUAACUUGUCUGUAGAAGCCUUGGGAUUCUCCUUCAUCUUGUCUGCUAAGGCAACCUCAUGCCUUCUUUUAGUCCUCCUGAUUUCUUUCUUAAGUGUUCCCUUGCAUUUCUUAUACUUAAUAAGCACCUCAUUUGUUCCUACCUGCCUAUAAUGAGGCAAUGCACCUCCUCUUUUUUCUUAUCCUGAGCCUCAUUAUCUCUUAAAAAGCAAGGUUCCCCAAAUCUGUUAUCUUCACCUUUCAUUCUGACAGGCACAUAUAAGCUUAGUACUCUCAAAAUUGACUUUUGAAAACCUCCCAAGAACAUCUUGCCAGGAAACAGCCUGCUCUAAUUCACACUCGCAAGAUCCUUUUUGCAGACUUCCUUUGAAACUAAUGGCAGUGUGAUCACCAGAUGCAAAAUGCCUGCCUGCACAAAGUUCUGUCACCUGCCCUGUCUCAUUCCCUAAUAGCAGAUCAAGUAUUGCACACUCCAUUGCUGGGACUCAUAUGUAAUAAUUAAGAAAGCUUUCCUGAACACAUUUGACAAACUUUAUCCUAUCUAGUCCUUCUAUGGUGUGGGAGUCACAGUCAAUUAUUCUGGCACUCUGGUUCCCAUCCUCCUCCAACUCUAGUUUAACACCCCACCCCCACCCUGUGCUGUUCUAGCAAAUCUUCCCUCUAGGAUGUUAGUCCCCUUCCGGUUCAUGACAUAUGUCAUGUAACAUGUUGUUUUCUCAUAGCAGUACAGUGCAGUACAUUAAAUACAAUAAGAAACAUACAUUAAGAAAUUAAAUAAAUGGUGCAAAAAGAGAGUGAAAUUAGUGAGGUAGUCUUCAUGAGUUCAUUGUCUGUGCAGAAAUCUAAUGGUAGAGGGGAAGAAGCCAUUCCUAAAACACUGAGUGAGUCCAGAGGCUCUUGUGCCUCGUCUCUGACAGCAGCAAUGAGAAGAGAACGUGUCCUGAGUGGUGGGUGGUCCUUAACGACAGAUGCCGCCUGCUUCGGGCGUUGCCUUUUGAAGAUCUCCUUGAUGGUGGGGAGGCUGGUGCCCGUGAUAGAGCCAGCUGAGCUGACAACCCUCUGCAGCGUUUUCUAAUCCUGUACAUGCCAGAUGUCGAAGCAACCAGUCAGAAAGCUCUCCACACUACAUCUGUAGAAAUUUGCUGGAGUCUUUGGUGACGUACUAACUCUCGUCAAAAUCCUAAUGAAAUACAGGUGCUGGUGUGCCUUCUUCAUCAUUGCAUUAAUAUGUUGGGCCUGGGAUAGGUCUUCAGGGAUGUUGAUACCCAGGAACUUAAAACUACUUACCCUUUCCACUGCUGGUCCCCUGAUGAGGACUAGUGUGUGUUCUCUCCUCCAGAAAUCCACAAUCAAAUCCUUGGUCUUGGUGAUGCUGAGUGCAAGGUUGCUUUUGCAACACCACUCAGCCAGCUGAUGUAUCUCACAUCUGAACACCUCCUCGUCACUAUCGGAAAUGUUGCCAACAACAGCUAUGUCACUGGUGAAGUUAUAAAUGGCAUUUGGUCUGUGUCUAGCUGCAGAGUCAUGCAUGAAGAUGAAGUAGAGCAGUGUGCUAAGUACACAUCGUUGAGGUGUGCCCGUCUUCUGAACCAUCUCAUCUACAUGUCCUGCUGUUUCAGAGGUCUAUGGACAUGCACUCUAAUGAACCUUUGCUCUCUCAAUGUUCUAGUAUUUGCUUUCUUCACCCUUUCCAAGUGCCUUACUUCACAUCUUUUCAGAUUGAAUACCUGUUCAUUAAUAACUUCCUGCCAUCCUCAACUUACAUCUUCUCAACAACACUUGUACCUUUAAACCACCUGGAAGCUUGUUAAUCAUGCCCACCGUGAUUGCCCAAUAUAUUGAUAUACACUAGUAAAACUAAGGGAACCUGUACUGAGCCUUGAUAAUGACACUGGAAAUAAUGAACACGAUUCGAUCCUGAAUACACUCAAUGUUGGACUUUGCUUUCAGUCACAGGGUCUGCCAAGCUUUUACGUUCAUGACCAGUUUUCUAUCUCGUAAAACACACAAAAUGCUGGAGGAACUCAGCAAGUCAUCCUGAUGAAGGGUCUAGGCCCAAAUUAUUAACUGCUUAUUCCCCUCCAUAAGCGCAACCUAACCUGCUGAUUUCCUCCAGCAUUUUCUGUGUGUUUCUCAAGAUUUUCGGCAUCGGCCCAAUCUCUUCUGUUUCUAUCUAGAGCCUUUGCUGAAACAUCAAAAUUCACUUUUCUCAUCAGCCUUCCUUGUUACAUCCUCGAAUUUAAUCACAUUGAAGACAACCUUCUCUAAACAAAUCCACAUUUACUUGCUAUGGAUGAAAAGCCAUUAAGAGACUGUCAUCCUAAAUGUAGCAUGUCUUUAGUCAACUCAACUGAGCGCGUAGCGGAUAUUGAGUUAUACUCAAAUACAAUGACAAAGCAGACACGUGAUUGACAACCAACAAAUGUGAUCAUAACAAAGUCUGAUCUGCAUAAAUGAUAAAGUAACCAGUCCAGAACCUCCCAUGGACCAUGCAUGAAUUGGAAACGUGGGUCCAAUUUGUCUAUUGCUUCCCCUAUCUGUGGUUCAAUGGUGAAAGAUACCUUAACCUCAAGGUAUCUAGUUCUAAUGCCUACUUCAAUGGUGCCAAAUGCCUUUGCUCUUCCAUGUCUGGUGUUCAAAUCCCUGGCCCAUUUGUCUAUUGUUUCCCUGUAUCGAUGGCUGUGUCAGCCAUCUGGUGCAUUUCACACUGUUGUGUUAUAACUUGGUCAACUUUAUCCCAGUCCCACUAGGGCUCCGUUUGUUCCCCUGCUUUUUUUGGUAACCCAUACCAGAAUGCCUCAUAGUUAUGUGACUCUUGCUUUGCCCAAUUAUUGAACAAGUUUGAACAUCCAGAGCUUGAGGAACCAGCUAUUACUUUGUAAUUACAGUGGUCUCUUUCCAAAUCACUUGAGUUGAAUUGCUUCCUGUUGUAAACGAUCAUCUUCUUUAUCUCAAAGUUGCUGGCGAAUGCAGCAGGUCAGGCGGCAUCUCCAGGAAGAGGUACA
Molecule: long non-coding RNA, 7086 nt
Organism: Mobula hypostoma (lesser devil ray)
Lineage: Eukaryota; Metazoa; Chordata; Chondrichthyes; Myliobatiformes; Myliobatidae
Exons: 4
Source: RefSeq, a predicted model, not a curated record